RNAcentral lists this ribosomal RNA (253 nucleotides) under uncultured bacterium. RNAcentral describes it as "partial 16S ribosomal RNA". It matches the Rfam family "Bacterial small subunit ribosomal RNA", at positions 524 to 776 of the family's 1533-position model. The record is from RNAcentral.
UACGGAGGGUGCAAGCGUUAUCCGGAUUCACUGGGUUUAAAGGGUGCGUAGGCGGCUUGAUAAGUCAUUGGUGAAAGCUCGCAGCUUAACUGCGAAACUGCCAUUGAAACUGUCAAGCUUGAAUGUGGUUGAAGUGGGCGGAAUACAACAUGUAGCGGUGAAAUGCUUAGAUAUGUUUUAGAACACCGAUUGCGAAGGCAGCUCACUAAGCCAAUAUUGACGCUGAGGCACGAAAGCGUGGGUAGCAAACAGG